AUAGUGAUAAAAUCCUACUUCCACUCAGGAAUGGGUAAACUCUGCAACAGGCCACCAUGCACCUGAUGCUCAGCCUUAACUAACUGGCAAACAUCGCAUUCUACGAGCCAAUUAGCUACAUCCAUCUUCAUCCCGACCCACUGAUAGUACCGCUUGAGGUCUCAGUACAUCUUAGUCGCUCCUGGAAUGAAUGGAAAACAUGUUCGCAUGAGCCUCACUCAAGAUCUUCCGUUGCAACUCCUCAUCCUUAGGCACACAAACUUGCCAUGCACAAGGAUAGUCCCAUUAGCUGCGAACUGAUACUCAGAGCCCUCUGCCUUAGAAGCCGCAAUCAACCCCUCAUCCUUCUCCUGAGCCAACCGAACUCUAUUCAGAAGAUCUGCUCGAUUCACAGCUUCCAAUCCCAAUGGCUCUCAUGCCACAGCACACAACCGCAAAACACCAAUCUCACUCACCAAGGCCUCAACACUCUGCCCUGGAGCCGCACCCACGCGCUUACGGCUCAACGCGUCUGCAACCACAUUAGCCUUACCAGGAUGGUAGGCUAUCUCCAGAUCAUAAUCAGCCACCAGCUCCAUCCAUCGCCUUUGCCUCAGGUUCAGCUCUGCCUGAGUGAAGAUAUACUUCAAACUUUUAUGAUCCGUGAACACCUGCACUUUCCCGCCAUAAAGAUAAGACCUCCAAAUCUUUAAGGCAAAGAUUACCGCAGCCAUCUCCAAAUUGUGAGUAGGAUAGCUGCCCUUAUUGUUCCUCAACUGCCGCGAUGCAUAGGCAAUAAACUUCCCACGCUGCAUCAGAACACAACCCAAACCAACUCUUGAGGCAUCAAUAUACACCAUGUAAGGCUCUCCAUGCUCUGGCAAUGCUAACACUGGUAUACUCGUCAACAUCUCCUUCAGGCUCACGAAACCCUCCUCGAACUUCGGUGACCACACAAAAGGAACAUCCUUCCCUGUCAGCUUAGUCAUCGGCUGUGCCAUACUCGCAAACCCCUUGACGAAUCUCCUGUAAUACCCUGCCAACCCAAGAAAACUCCUGAUCUCAGUGGCAUUCGUCGGUCUAGGCCAGUCUCUGAUAGCCUCAAUCUUCUCUGGAUCCAUUGAAACUCCCUCUGCAGAAACAAUGUGACCCAGAAAACCCAUCUCUCUCUGCCAGAAACUGCAUUUGCUCAACUUAGCGAACAACUUCUACUCCCGUAGCUUCUCCAUCACUCUUCUAAGAUGUACCUCAUGCUCCUCGGGACUCUUAGAAUACACCAGAAUGUCAUCAAUAAAGAUGAUCACAAACUCAUCUAAAAACUCCUGGAACACGCUGUUCAUCAACCUCAUGAACGUUGCAGGUGCAUUAGUCAAACUGAAAGGCAUCAUUACUAACUCAAAAUGUCCAUAUCUCGUCCUGAAAGCAGUCAUGCAAACAUCCGCCUCCGCUAUCGGGAUCUAGUGAUAACCCGACGUCAAAUCGAUUUUGGAGAAACAAGUAGCACCCCUCAACUGAUCCAACAACUCAUCGAUCCUUGGUAAAGGGUACUUGUUCUUCACAGUGACCCGGUUCGACCCCCGGUAGUCAAUACAUAAGCGGAAACUCCCGUCCUUCUUCUUCACAAAUAACACCGGCGCUCCCCAAGGUGAAGUACAAGGACGAAUGAAUCCCUUACCCAACAAAUCCUCUAUCUGCUUCUUCAGCUCUACCAUCUCUGCUGGAGCCAUCCUGUAGGGUGCCUUAGACAACGACGCUGUCCCUGGUUCCAACUCAAUAUUUAAAGGUACAGACCGUGAUGGUGAUAAUCCCUGCAACUAUUAAAAUACAUUCUCGAACUCCUGAACAACCCGAAUAUCGCUCACUGCUACCUGCCCCACAGACACCAGCAUAGAUAUCGUCACAAGGUAAGCCUCGCAGCCCUUCUCGAUCAUUUUCUCUGCCUGCACUGUUGAGAUGACGAGACUCCUUGAGGUAGGUCUCACUCCCUGAUAAACCAAUCUCCCUUCUGGUCGCUCAAAAGAAACUCUCCCACGGUGGCAGUCAAGAUGUACUCUGUAAUGAUCCAACCAAUCCAUUUCCAGAAUAACAUCAUACAACUCUACAGGGCUAAUAAUCAAAUCUGCUGGCGUCGACUCCCCUGCAAUCUGAAUAUCCACACUCUUCGCUCUCCCCAGAACCGCUAGAAACUGCCCUCCAGCAACCUUGACGGCUCCAAACUGCUCACCAGGAUCCCUACGGAUGUUGCCGUGCGAGGCACUCUCCGUGGUAAUGAAGCAAUGCGAUGCUCCAGAGUCAAACAACACAUGGGCCUCUACACCGCCCACUAAUAAGGUCCCUACACAAACCUCAUGUGCUAAGAACCCUAACAAUCAUCACAAAACAAUUAUAUCUAAAAACAGCUGAGAUAAUUCACAAAGUCUGAGAAAUCAUGCCAUUGAUCGCUCUGUUGCUGGUACUGCCUAUCUCACGCGUAGUGUAGCCCUGUGGUGCUGCUGCAAUAUGUGUUAACUGCUGCACAUUUUGCUGCACUCCCUGCUGCACUUGCGCUCCCUACUGCACCGCCGGCUGUACUACUGCCACUGUCAUUCGCUGCAGCUUAGGACAAUUCGGCCUGAGAUGUCCUUUCUCCCUGCAAUGGUAGCACUCCCUCGUCUCAGCUCGCUGCGUGCAAUCCACUAUUUUGUGGUCAACCACAAGAAAAACAUCCCGCACGACCACCCUGUCCAGCUCUAGAAGGAUGAUCUUACUUCCUCUUCUACCCCUGCGCAGGCUUGGCACCCUUGCUAGGUGCCAGCUUCUGCUGAGUCUUCUUCUGUUGUACCGCUGGACUCACUGCCACCACCUGCCUCUGAAGGUCCUCCUCUAUCUCAGCAGCUGUCUCCACCAGUGCCGCCUUCGUGGCGUACUGUGACACUCUACACCGCACCCUCAAAUCCGGUCGAAGUCCCCUUAAGAACCUCUUCAUCUAGGCCUGGUCAUCCUCCAUGCUUCGACCCGCAUACACCAAAAGUCGGUUAAACUCCCGGUCAUACUCCCGAACCGAUCGCUCAUACUAUGUCAGCUCCAGAAAACGCACCUCCAUACGGUCGAGCGCCUCCUGUGGAAAGUACUUGGCAUUAAACUCAGCCACGAAAUUUGCCCAAGACAUAUCCGCCUGCCUCCUCCUGGCAGUCACACUCCGCCACCACAAAUGUGCAUCUCCUUCUUAAAAAUGCACUGCUUGAACUGAAGUUCCGCUCAACCCGCGACCUCCAACUAUCGGCCUCCUCAGGACUAGUACCACCAGAAAAAUACUUGGUACUAAUCCUCUGCAACUGCUCCAUCAUCCUCAAAUAAGAUGGAAUCUCCUCAGCAACCGCAGCCCACUGCUGCACCUCUGCUACUCGUGGUGCAACUGGAGCCUACACUGGUACCACACCUGGUAACCGCUCCAACAACUGCCUCAGCAGGCCCGCCAAACCAACCUCUGGAACCUAGGCUCCUCCGGCUGUGGCGCCCAUCAUUCCUGGGUCCUCAGCACCAACGGCAUGCACACCCUAACCGGAUUCCAAUAACAA
This 3536-nucleotide small RNA is filed under the name Arabidopsis thaliana (thale cress). RNAcentral describes it as "ATSL097580". The record is from RNAcentral. Lineage: Eukaryota; Viridiplantae; Streptophyta; Magnoliopsida; Brassicales; Brassicaceae.